RNAcentral lists this long non-coding RNA (331 nucleotides) under Manihot esculenta (cassava). RNAcentral's name for it is "long non-coding RNA (MESC_LNC001202)". Lineage: Eukaryota; Viridiplantae; Streptophyta; Magnoliopsida; Malpighiales; Euphorbiaceae. The record is from RNAcentral.
AAAUUAAUUUUUAGCAUGAUUCACGCAUCAUGAAUACCAUGAGAUAUAUUAGGUUGUUUGCAUUAGAAUUCACGAAUAUGUUGCAUUGCAUAAUAUGUUGAUGAUAUGGAUGAAUGUUGAAUGAUCCUUUAGCCCUCCCAUGAUAUGAUAUGGUAUGAUAUGAUACGGUACGGAAGACUAGUGAGGCCCAUUCUACGCCCCUGGCACUAUGUGAGAGAAAGACCAGCGAGGCCCAUUCUACGCCCCUGGCACAGUUGGAAUGUUAUGUUAUGAUAUGUUAUGUAAGAGAAAGACCAGUGAGGCCCAUUCUAUGCCCCUGGCACAGUUGGAC